This 320-nucleotide ribosomal RNA is filed under the name uncultured Lachnospiraceae bacterium. RNAcentral describes it as "partial 16S ribosomal RNA". The record is from RNAcentral. Lineage: Bacteria; Bacillati; Bacillota; Clostridia; Lachnospirales; Lachnospiraceae.
GGAGUUUGGGCCGUGUCUCAGUCCCAAUGUGGCCGUUCACCCUCUCAGGCCGGCUACUGAUCGUCGCCUUGGUGGGCCGUUACCUCACCAACCAGCUAAUCAGACGCGGGUCCAUCUUAUCCCGAUAAAUCUUUUCACACUGUAUCAUGCGAUACUGUGCGCUUAUGCGGUAUUAGCAGUAAUUUCUCACUGUUAUCCCCCUGGAUAAGGCAGGUUACCCACGCGUUACUCACCCGUCCGCCACUAAGUUUAGUCAAAAGCAAGCUUUCAUCUAAACUCCGUUCGACUUGCAUGUGUUAAGCACGCCGCCAGCGUUCAUC